Bacteroides cellulosilyticus CAG:158 is the source of this 97-nucleotide non-coding RNA. The record is from Rfam. NCBI's taxonomy places the organism in Bacteria, Pseudomonadati, Bacteroidota, Bacteroidia, Bacteroidales, Bacteroidaceae.
GAGAGCCGUAUGCGUGGAGACAUGCAAGUACGGUUUGGGGGCAGGUACGGGAAAACCUACUGCCGAAAGGCAGUAAGGCGUUCUGUACCGAGCCUAC